This 806-nucleotide ribosomal RNA is filed under the name uncultured bacterium. RNAcentral's name for it is "bacterial SSU rRNA". It matches the Rfam family "Bacterial small subunit ribosomal RNA", at positions 90 to 914 of the family's 1533-position model. The record is from RNAcentral.
ACUUAGUGGCGGACGGGUGAGUAACGCGUGGGUAACCUGCCUUACACAGGGGGAUAACACUUAGAAAUAGGUGCUAAUACCGCAUAAGCGCACAGUCCCGCAUGGGACAGAGUGAAAAACAUUAGUGGUGUAAGAUGGACCCGCGUCUGAUUAGCUUGUUGGCGGGGUAACGGCCCACCAAGGCGACGAUCAGUAGCCGGCCUGAGAGGGCGACCGGCCACAUUGGGACUGAGACACGGCCCAAACUCCUACGGGAGGCAGCAGUGGGGAAUAUUGCACAAUGGGGGGAACCCUGAUGCAGCGACGCCGCGUGAGUGAAGAAGUAUUUCGGUAUGUAAAGCUCUAUCAGCAGGGAAGAAGAUGACGGUACCUGACUAAGAAGCCCCGGCUAACUACGUGCCAGCAGCCGCGGUAAUACGUAGGGGGCAAGCGUUAUCCGGAUUUACUGGGUGUAAAGGGAGCGUAGACGGCAGGGCAAGUCUGGAGUGAAAGCCCGGGGCCCAACCCCGGGACUGCUUUGGAAACUGCCAUGCUGGAGUGCUGGAGAGGUAAGCGGAAUUCCUAGUGUAGCGGUGAAAUGCGUAGAUAUUAGGAGGAACACCAGUGGCGAAGGCGGCUUACUGGACAGUAACUGACGUUGAGGCUCGAAAGCGUGGGGAGCAAACAGGAUUAGAUACCCUGGUAGUCCACGCCGUANACGAUGAAUGCUAGGUGUCGGUGGGCAAAGCNCAUCGGUGCCGCCGCAAACGCAGUAAGCAUUCCACCUGGGGAGUACGUUCGCAAGAAUGAAACUCAAAGGAAUUGAC